CUGGCUGCUGAAACCUGAGGGUGGCUCCCCUGAGGGUCUGGUCUAGACGGGAAAAGUGCAAAGGACAGCAGAAAGCUAGCAGGAGUCCAGCUUCCAGAGUGAGAGGUGCAGCCAGCUGACCCUCCUGUCUCCCGGCAUUUCUCCAUCCCACUCUUCUGGUUCCUCUGAGUGACUCUUUCCUUUCCCAAGUGGCCUGUCAAUCAAGAUGACCUUGUACCCAUUCCAUCACCCACUCUAGGAAAACACGUGAGCUAGAGUAAUAUAGCCAACAAUUACUCCAGGCCACUGUGGUGCCUUCAGGGAAGGCACACAACUCAAGCAAGAACCAACAGCAUCUUACUGGAGCCACUAGUAGAGGUUGGGAGAGAGAAUGUCUCUCUUCCUGGAGAUUACAAAAUAGGAAAUAUUUAUAAACAAAGUUCUGGGGGUCAUCUUGCCCCCAGUAAUCAGCAGAGAGGGUAAUCAACAGAGCCAAGAGAUGAGGAGGGGCCAGGUCCAUGAUAACACAAUCUGAGUCCCUGGAUCCGGUCAUACAGGGAGAAAGAACCACGCCUAAACUUUCCCAAUACUGAAUCAUUAAGUCCCCUUUCCUCUGGACUAGUUUCUCUCUGCCUGAGGGUCUUGGCUGACACACAGCUAAACCCUGCCCUGCGGUCACGCACGGCCGACGGUUUUUAUUCAGAUGAAUUCAGCCAACAGUAACAGACAUCCGCUUUCUGACUGGCACUGGGGACAUGCUGUUUGCCUUGGAGGAACUAACAGUUUCAUGGAGGAGACAGACAUGUCAGCAAAUAUGUUUUUCUAUGGCUUCACAGUAAAACUCCCAGAACUGGUUCCUGUCUCUGCAACAAGAUUCCUUUGGAGUCAAAGAGAACACACAAAACCCAAUUCAUGCGGGACACAUCCUGAAGUUCUUAAACAGGUAGGGACCUGAAGAUGCUUUCUGUGUUGUGGGAAUAACAGUGACUGAUCUCUACCCAAGAGACUCCUGGAAUUUUGUCUUGGGACAGGCCUUUUUGACAGAUGGUGUGGAGAUAUCCAGCUUUGCCAGGUAAGGGAGUAGUUUUUUAUCUCACUCUGAAGGCAGAGUGAAGAAGCUGCAGAAAAUAUCUUCAAAGGGACUAUUUGGUUUUUGAUAACGAUUACACUCCUGAAGUGACCUUUUGCUGCUUCAUUCCUGUAAGACUUUAACCCCUGAGAUUGGACACAUAUUUGGACUUUGACUCUGCCAGUGGCUUGCACGCCUGUUGCAAAGCUCCAGCCACUUGGGGGAUGCUGACCAGCACCCCAUCAACUUUGCCCUGUGUAUGCAAGAGGCAGAGUGCUAUUGGCUUCAGCAUUACAGAAAGAUACAAAGUGGAUUGAUGAUGUAUCUGCUGACACACCUGGAAUUACUCUGAAACAUAGUUAUGACAAUAAUGUGAAUUUGCUAACCCAUGGAAAUCUAUUUUUUUUUUCCUUUUUUUAGGGCUGCAUCAGCUGCAUAGCGGCAUAUGGAGGUUCCCAGGCUAGGGGUUGAAUUGAAGCUGCAGCUGCUGGCUUAUGCCAAAGUCACAGCAACACCAGAUCCAAGCCUGUCUUUGACCUAUACUGAAGCUCACAGCAACACCAGAUCCUUAACCCACUGAGGCGGGGGCGGGGGGGGGCGAGGUAUCAAACCUUCAUCCUCAUGACUAAUAGCCAGGUGCUUUACUGCUGAGCCACAACCAGAAUUCCCACCCAUGGAAAUCUUUUAAAGAAUAGUGUUCUUAUGAUAACCUGUAAUGGAAAAGAAUCUGAAAAAGAAUGUAUAUACACACACACACAUGCAAAUAUAUGUAUAUAUACAUAUACACACACAUAUAUAUAUAUAUACCUACAUAUAUCUAUAGGAGUUUCCUGGUGGCUUAGCAGGUUAAGGAUCCACCAUUGUUACUGCUGUGGCUCAGGUCACUGCUGUGGUGCAGGUUCGAUCCUUGACUGAAGAAUUUCUGCAUGUCAUGGAUGCAGCCAAAGAAAACAAAUAUAUAUAAUAUAAACCAAUCACUUUUCUGUACACCUGAAACUAACACAACAUUGUAAAUCAACUACACUUUAAUUAAAAAAAGAAGGGAAAAAAAUAAUGGAAGAAGUGAAUAAUAAAAUACCUUGCUGUUCUCCAAAUACAAGAACCUUCAAAAAUAGAGUUCCCAUCAUGGCAUAGCAGAAACCAGUCUGACUAGGAACCAUGAAGUUUGGGGUUUGAUCCCUGGCCUCACUCAGUGGGUUAAGAAUCUGGCAUUGCUGUCAGCUGUGAUGUAGUUUGCAGAUGUGGCUCGGAUCCUGUGUGGCUGUGGCGUAGGCAGGUGACUGUAGCUCUGAUUUGACUCCUGGCCUGGGAACCUCCAUAUAUAUGCCUCGGGUACAGCAGCAGCAGCAGCAGCAGCAGCAGCAGCAGAAGAAGAAGAAGAAGAAGAAGAAGAAAAAGAACUUCAAAUAGGAGUAAUCAAAAUAAACACUUGCACAUUUUAAAAAAGUUUAUGUUCAAUACUUCAUUUAAUCCUAUCACAGCUCUAUGAAGAAGAAAGUGCUGUUUUUUUUGUUUUUUGUUUUUUUUUUUUUGGUCUUUUUGUCUUUUCUAGGGCCGUACCCACAACAUAUGGAGGUUCCCAGGCUAGGGGGUCUAAUCGGAGCUGUAGCCAUUGGCCUAUGCCAGAGCCACAGCAACGCAGGAUCUGAGCCGAGUCUGGGACCUACACCACAGCUCACGGCAACACCAUAUCCUUAACCCACUGAGCGAGGCCAGGGAUCAAACCUGCAACCUCAUGGUUCCUAGUAGGAUCAUUAACUACUGAGCCAUGACGGGAACUCUGAAAAUGCUCUUAUUGAACCCAUUUUAGAAGCCUCUCUGAGGCUGAGAGGCUGGGUAAACUGAUGAAGGUCACCUUGCUGCUGGAGUCAACGACAAAGGGUACUGGAACAUGCUGCUCCAAAAUAUGCCGCCUUGGCGUAAGGAGCAUUUUGAGCUGAAGGCAAUUACAAAACAACAGAUGCAGGAAAAAAAGUAUCUGCUCUUCCCCAGUCUUGCUAAAAACAAGAUAUAUUUUUCUCAUUUUUUUUUUUGGCCCGGCCAGGAAUCAAACCUGUGCCGCAGCAAUGAUACCGAAUCUUGUAUCGCUAGGCCACCAAGGAUCUCUUAAAAGCAGGAUACAAAUUUUCAUUUGUAAAGGUGUUUCUUUCUUCCAAGUUGGAAAGAGAAGGACAAUUCUUGGACUCAUAAUCACCAGAGACAACUCUGGACUCUUAUCAGGUCAGAGAUGGCAUCUGAGAGGCCCCUACACAACAAACCUUACUAAAUAACCCUGGUUUUCUAUUAGUUUCCUCUGAUAUAUUUUCCUUCCCACUGUUUGCCACCUUGAAAGUCUUCACUCCUUUUUUUUUGCCGUAAUUUUUCUCUGCAAAUUCACUCUUCUUUGUUAAGAUGCCAUAUAAGCCCCAAGUUCCAACCAUUUCUUUGAGUUACUCAUCACUGAGGUUCUCCCAUGUAUAUGCAUGCUGCAUGCUUUCAUAAAAUCUGUUUUUCUCCUGUUAAGUUGUGUUUUGUCAGUUUGAUUCCCAGGAUUUUAGUUACAGGCCCUAAGAGUGUAGAGAAAAAGUUUUUUUCAUUCCCUACAGGAUUUAACCCAGAUCUGUCAAUGCUAAGACUAGGCUCUUACUGUCUCAUAAAAGAUGCUCAGUAAGCAGAGGAUAAGUGAAUGAAGGGCUCUGUAUUAGUUUACUCAGGCUGCCGUAACAAUAUACCACUGACAGCUUGGCUUAAAAAAUAGAAUUAAUUUUCUCACAGUUCUGGAGGCUGCGAAGUCCAAGGUCAAGGGGCUGCCUA
Molecule: long non-coding RNA, 3841 nt
Filed under: Sus scrofa (pig)
Lineage: Eukaryota; Metazoa; Chordata; Mammalia; Artiodactyla; Suidae
Description: lncRNA (ENSSSCG00005007535.1)
Source: RNAcentral